CUUCAAAACCCACUAGAACUUUCUCUUCAAACACACAAAACUCUAAAACCAUUGAAACUUCUCUUACUCUCUCCGACUCAGCUUAGGGUUUGUCUUUGCUUUCCUUUUCUGUUAGAUCCAGUUUCUUUUCAUUUUCAAGGACAUAAAAACAUGUUCUUGUCAUCUGCCUAAUUAAUUUCUUCAAUAAUCUGGUUCAGGAAAGAGUUGUAUUUUGUCAAAAUUCUUCAAAAAGCUCUCGGAAGGGUCGAGAUCCAACACCAAGUGAGGUACAUUUGGAUGUUCAUACACACGGUCAUGAUGGAAAAUCUUUUGUUGGUGACUAAGCUCGAAUCAUGCAUGAAAAAUAUCAAGAAAUACUACAAAAUCAGUCACAGACUCAGUCUGAAGUUGAUCAAUGUCAAGCCUAUUACGAAGCCGUAGGAGGGGUAAAGAAAAAAAGAAUAUAUGGUAUUGGAUCUCAAGCACACUUAUAUUAUGGGCCGAAUCUCCGUUCCUCUUCUUCAUCUGAUGCUACAUCCUCAGUACCACCUCUGAAUGCUCAACCGGCAGCGACGAGAAAUUUGGAUGAGUUAUGACGCGAUAAUUCUUGCACUGACUAAUAGCAUAAUUCCUACACUGACUGAUCGCUUGCUUCCUAUAAUUGUUGAGCGGGUACGUGGAUUGAAUCCUUCAGUCUCUUCUCAGACGGACACUCCUAACGACCAUCCAUCAUCUAUGGCACCUAUAGUUCCAGCUCCAGCUGUGGCCAACAUUGAUCAAGUUCAUGCAUCGAUUUCUGAUGAUGAUCGUGGCUCUCCAGUCUCUCAUUAGUUAGUUUUGUUGUUUAGACUUUAUGGUUGUUAGUUUUGUUGUUUAGACUUUAUGGUUGUUAGUUUUGUUGUUUGGACUUUAUAGUUUUUGCAUAUGAUUUUGAAUUUUUUGAUUUGGGUAUUAUCGUUGUGGAUGCUUUAAACUUGAUUUGCAUUCUGCUAUGUAUUUUGGACCUUGUAGAAUAUUAGUUUCUAUUAAUUAAGUUAUUA
Long non-coding RNA from Lycium barbarum (goji berry), 1019 nucleotides. RefSeq lists it as uncharacterized. The record is from RefSeq and is a predicted model, not a curated record. NCBI's taxonomy places the organism in Eukaryota, Viridiplantae, Streptophyta, Magnoliopsida, Solanales, Solanaceae. The transcript is spliced from 4 exons.